CUCCUGUGGGGGGGUCCCUCAGCCCAGAUUGUGAGAGGGUGCAGGCCAGGCCAAGGGACCCCACCAGUGCAUG
This 73-nucleotide microRNA precursor is filed under the name Myotis lucifugus (little brown bat). RNAcentral describes it as "mir-9193 microRNA precursor family". It matches the Rfam family "mir-9193 microRNA precursor family". Lineage: Eukaryota; Metazoa; Chordata; Mammalia; Chiroptera; Vespertilionidae. The record is from Rfam by way of RNAcentral.